AUACGGAGGAUCCGAGCGUUAUCCGGAUUUAUUGGGUUUAAAGGGUGCGCAGGCGGCCAUUUAAGUCAGCGGUUAAAUCGUGGGGCUCAACCCCAUUCUGCCGUUGAUACUGGGUGGCUUGAUUGCGGUCGAGGUUGGCGGAAUUCGUUGUGUAGCGGUGAAAUGCAUAGAUAUGACGAAGAACACCGAUUGCGUAGGCAGCUGACCAGACCGCAAAUGACGCUCAUGCACGAAAGUGCGGGGAUCGAACAGGAUUAGAUACCCUGGUAGUCCGCACAGUAAACGAUGAAUACUUGUUUUCGGCGAUAUAAUGUCGGAGGCAAAGCGAAAGUGAUAAGUAUUCCACCUGGGGAGUACGCCGGCAACGGUGAAACUCAAAUGAAUUGACGGGG
Molecule: ribosomal RNA, 392 nt
Filed under: uncultured bacterium
Lineage: Bacteria
Description: partial 16S ribosomal RNA
Rfam family: Bacterial small subunit ribosomal RNA
Source: RNAcentral